Long non-coding RNA from Cyprinodon tularosa, 1350 nucleotides. RefSeq lists it as uncharacterized. The record is from RefSeq and is a predicted model, not a curated record. NCBI's taxonomy places the organism in Eukaryota, Metazoa, Chordata, Actinopteri, Cyprinodontiformes, Cyprinodontidae. The transcript has 2 exons.
GAAGAAGCAGAAGCCUUACAGGACCAACCUAAAUUGGUAGAUUUAAGGAAGUUUUUAGUUCCGCAGCUAAUACUCAGUUAUAUAGAAAGCUUGCAUUUUUCAACCACCUUUGGCAAUUUGCUUCCAGCGAUUCAACAUCUCUCUGGAAGACACCUUUGGCAGCCUACUGCUGAAUGUUACUCAGACGACAACGGACCGCUGUGAAUCCAUCUUACUUUGGAUUGAUCCAGCUUGCUGUCAUCUCUGACCAGUUUCGUCCUCUUUCCAAAUGAGAAGCAUCCAUGAUGACUGCCACUGUUUAAUUUUACCAUGGAAUCAAAGCGCUCAGGGUGAUUUGCAGGACUUAUCUGCUGCUGCCUUAGAGUUUUGCAUUUAGGCAAAAAUGUUCACAUUUGUUACUGUUAAGGUAAAGCACCUUUGCGAUAUGCCUGCUUUUUCAUAACAAUGGACUGUGGUAAAAUUUUAUUUCUGCUUGCUUCAAACAAUAGCUCUGUUGUCACUCUUCCCUAAAGGGCGUAUUUGUGGAGUGCAUGACUAAUUCUAUCCUGUCGAUAUUCUGCAUGCUGAAUCUGAGUGGUAUAACAUUAGAGGAACUGCAUAGCUCCCCCAACCAUGACUGCGUCUCUGGUUAAUGUUGUCCGUUGACUUACUUCUAGGUGGCAUCUGAUGACUAUAUUCUUGAUUUUAUUUAGUGUUAAUUUAACAGGGGCUAAAAAAUUAUCGCACAAUUUUCAGUUUUUCUAUUUAGAGAUUUGAUCAUUUUCAGUUCAUAUGUAUGUCUUGGUUUACAGCAUAAGCUUCUGAUGAAAUACUUAGAGAUUUAGGUUUGCAAUUUAAAAGGAAAUUAAAAAUAAGCCGAAGGUAUAAUUAACGAUUAUUUAGGGCAGAUCUGCUUUUAUUAAUUCUAUGCAAGAAGACAUUUAAAUUCCUGGGUCCCUUGUGCUGCUAGAAUUACUUUGUUGACUUGAACCAACACUAAAACAUGAAAAAUAACAGAAUUAAAUAAAAAAACACAAAGGAAAAAAAUCACAUUAAGGUGCCUUUAUUCUUUAUUUCAUAUACCUGCUAAGUUCCAACCAUUGUUUUAAAUAUGUGCAGUUUCUCUUUUUUACUGUGUUCAGCUUCAAAUGUUGCUUCUAGCACUGAACGAGGUGCAUAUGUGAAAUGGUUAGAACUAUUCCUAUUACUAGACUUACUGGCACCUCGGGGUUAAAAAUUUAGCUUUUUAAUUAUUCAAAAAGGUUUCACACUUUGCAAGUUGCAAAUAUGUUUUUUGCGAGAUACAAACAAACACUUCCCUAUAUCAAUAAAAACAUAAUCUGAUAGGUAGCUAUUUAAAAAAAGAAAUAU